This 498-nucleotide long non-coding RNA is filed under the name Capsicum annuum. Its description in RNAcentral is "long non-coding RNA (CANN_LNC006505)". Lineage: Eukaryota; Viridiplantae; Streptophyta; Magnoliopsida; Solanales; Solanaceae. The record is from RNAcentral.
CCCCUAGAAUACUGUACAAUUUAAAAGAAAUUUUGAGUAAAAAAUUUCAAUGAAGUUACCAAAAAUAAAGUUCGUCAAUGAAGGAAAAAUCCCUGCUCUUGAUUUUUCUUUUGAUUUUCCUUUGUUGCUUCAUGGCCAAAAUCUUUUGAGGUUGAUUCCAUUGUGCCUUUUAGAAGGAGCAGAAGGUGGAAUUGGUACCCCUUUUGGCAAAGACUCAUUAGGAGAUUUAUUAUUAUAAUUCUUAGGCAAAGGCUUCACCUUGAAAAAUUGUGUGUGUCUUGCACCAUAUGCAUGUUGAAUUACCACAAGAACCAAAAUGAUGGAUAUUAUAUAGGUUGCGGUUUUUAUGCUCAUUUUUUCCAUCUCCCUAAGCUUGUUGUAAGGUUAGAAUGGUAUUGUAGUUGAAAUAAAAGGAAAGAGGUGUGGAGAGGGCCAAAGAUUUGAAAUGGAAAAAGAAGUGAUGUUUUGCUGUGGGAUUGAUUAGUAUAUUAGUUAGUG